AAGUCGGUGAGGUAACCGCAAGGAGCCAGCCGCCGAAGGUGGGGUAGAUGACUGGGGUGAAGUCGUAACAAGGUAUCCGUACCGGAAGGUGCGGAUGGAUCACCUCCUUUCUAUGGAGA
This 119-nucleotide ribosomal RNA is filed under the name Mesorhizobium sp. M00.F.Ca.ET.186.01.1.1. RNAcentral describes it as "partial 16S ribosomal RNA". It matches the Rfam family "Bacterial small subunit ribosomal RNA", at positions 1424 to 1533 of the family's 1533-position model. Lineage: Bacteria; Pseudomonadati; Pseudomonadota; Alphaproteobacteria; Hyphomicrobiales; Phyllobacteriaceae. The record is from RNAcentral.